Molecule: RNase P RNA, 383 nt
Filed under: Gammaproteobacteria bacterium
Lineage: Bacteria; Pseudomonadati; Pseudomonadota; Gammaproteobacteria
Description: RNase P RNA component class A
Rfam family: Bacterial RNase P class A
About the family: Ribonuclease P (RNase P) is a ubiquitous endoribonuclease, found in archaea, bacteria and eukarya as well as chloroplasts and mitochondria. Its best characterised activity is the generation of mature 5'-ends of tRNAs by cleaving the 5'-leader elements of precursor-tRNAs. Cellular RNase Ps are ribonucleoproteins.
Source: RNAcentral
GAAGUCGGCUGAGCAGUCGCGGCACCUCUUUUUCGUUUUACGACGGGAAGGCGGGUGCGGAGGAAAGUCCGGGCUCCAUAGGGCAGAGUGCCAGGUAACGCCUGGGGGGCGUGAGCCUACGGAAAGUGCAGCAGAAAAUAUACCGCCGAUGGCCUCGGUUUUCGAACCGAGGCACAGGUAAGGUUGAAAUGGUGCGGUAAGAGCGCACCGCGCGGCUGGUAACAGCAGUGGCAGGGUAAACCCCACUCGGAGCAAGACCAAAUAGGGGAACAUUGAUGUGGUCCGCAUAAGUUCCCGGGUAGGUUGCUUGAGCCGCGUGGCGACACGUUGGCCAGAUGAAUGACUGUUCACGACAGAACCCGGCUUACAGGCCGGCUUCCACC